Molecule: long non-coding RNA, 1112 nt
Filed under: Citrus sinensis (sweet orange)
Lineage: Eukaryota; Viridiplantae; Streptophyta; Magnoliopsida; Sapindales; Rutaceae
Description: long non-coding RNA (CSIN_LNC000310)
Source: RNAcentral
UUGUAUUCAUUCCAUUUCCACUAGAAGGCCAACAAUGAAUCAGGUUGUGAUUGAACUGAACGAUUGUUUAGCAAUGGAAAUAGCUCGUACAAAGGCGCACGAGACUGCACCAGAUGGAACUCCUGAUGAAUUGAUGAUAGAUUUGAAUCUGCACAGUGAUGUAUUUCCCUUAGCUAGAUAGUAAUUUGCUCAAUAUAUAACUUGCUUCAGUUUCUUUUAUUUGUAUCCAAUCGUGUCUGAUGUUUGUGACCCUCUUAUUUCUGUGUUAUAUUGUACUAGUAUCAGUGAUUUUAACUUUUUAGUUUGGUUAAUGUACUUCUUAUCAAAAACCGAAUUUUACUAUUAUGCCUGUGUUGAAGGAUCAUUUCUUCUUCAUUAAAUAUAUUUUACGAUGAGACACAUUAGUGGAAGUGACGGAUCCCCCUAAGUUACAUACAUGUAAUUUACAACUCUCUCACAUUAAUAGUGAAUGGUGUGGGUCCACUCACUAUUUUAGCAUUAGCCUUUAUUUGAAUACUACAAAGAUUCUGAAUUCUGAUGAUUGGGCGGGCUAGUCUUAGGGUCUUAUAGCCCAAACAACCAAAGUGGGCUAGAGCCCAUUUUUAGGAAAGCCCAAUGUGAUGAAGUGGGCUUGUUGUGAUUCCAUCAUCCAAACAACGACUUCUUCCCCAUUAACCCAACCCAUCAAAAUUUUAAAUAAAAAAAAAAAAAGAGAAAAGUUCCCACCCGAAAUGACUUUAAAAAAAUAUAUAUAUUCAGAAAUGUUUUAAGUUUCUCAGGGCAUUUGCCUUUCACCAAUGGUGCGUCGGUAUGUGUAUAGGAAAUAGUCUACCUAAAAAUCUAAAGCAAAUGUGGCUCCAAAAUGAUAACUGGGCAAUCUCCCAAAAAAGCAAAUCCUCAAGUAAAGCCUAACAAAAAGGUCCAAUAAAAUAAAAGUAAAAGUGACAAACCCAUGAAAAGAGUAGCAAAAAAGAGCACCUACCGAAGUAGUUUGAUCGACAACUGGUUGGUGCCCAAAUCUCCGUAUCUUCCAUCACUUCCCAAUAUCCACAAUAAAUAGAUAAAUUAUUUAAUAUUUAAAUUUAUAAAAUAAAUGGGUAUGCACAGCAUAG